UUGGAGGGCAAGUCUGGUGCCAGCAGCCGCGGUAAUUCCAGCUCCAAUAGCGUAUAUUAAAGUUGUUGCAGUUAAAAAGCUCGUAGUUGAACUUCAGACCUGACCGGGCGGUCCGCCUAACGGUGUGUACUGUCUGGCCGGGCCUUACCUCUUGGUGAGCCGGCAUGCCCUUCACUGGGUGCGUCGGGGAACCAGGACCUUUACCUUGAGAAAAUUAGAGUGUUCAAAGCAGGCUUACGCCGGAAUACAUUAGCAUGGAAUAAUAAAAUAGGACGUGUCGG
RNAcentral lists this ribosomal RNA (281 nucleotides) under uncultured fungus. RNAcentral describes it as "partial 18S ribosomal RNA". It matches the Rfam family "Eukaryotic small subunit ribosomal RNA", at positions 548 to 835 of the family's 1831-position model. Lineage: Eukaryota; Fungi. The record is from RNAcentral.